AUACGGAAGGUCCGGGCGUUAUCCGGAUUUAUUGGGUUUAAAGGGAGCGCAGGCGGAGAUGCAAGCGUGACGUCAAAUUUCGGGGCUCAACCCCGUCUCGCGUCGCGAACUGCGUCCCUUGGUUGCGGGAAGGGGAGGCGGAACUCGUGGUGUAGCGGUGCAAUGCAUAGAUAUCACGAAGAACUCCGAUCGCGAAGGCAGCCUUCCGGCCCGUCAACGACGCUCAUGCUCGAAGGUGCGGGUAUCAAACAGGAUUAGAUACCCUGGUAGUCCGCACAGUAAACGAUGGACACCCGCGGUUUGGCCUGUAUGGCUGAGCCGCCAAGCGAAAGCGUUAAGUGUCCCACCUGGGGAGUACGCCGGCAACGGUGAAACUCAAAUGAAUUGGCGGGG
Molecule: ribosomal RNA, 393 nt
Filed under: uncultured bacterium
Lineage: Bacteria
Description: partial 16S ribosomal RNA
Rfam family: Bacterial small subunit ribosomal RNA
Source: RNAcentral